GCUCGCAUAGCUCAGUUGGUAGAGCGCAUCCCCGGUAAGGAUGAGGUCGCUGGUUCAAUUCCAGCUGUGAGCACCA
This 76-nucleotide transfer RNA is filed under the name marine sediment metagenome. RNAcentral's name for it is "tRNA-Thr". It matches the Rfam family "tRNA". From Rfam's summary of the family: Transfer RNA (tRNA) molecules are approximately 80 nucleotides in length. Their secondary structure includes four short double-helical elements and three loops (D, anti-codon, and T loops). Further hydrogen bonds mediate the characteristic L-shaped molecular structure. tRNAs have two regions of fundamental functional importance: the anti-codon, which is responsible for specific mRNA codon recognition, and the 3' end, to which the tRNAs corresponding amino acid is attached (by aminoacyl-tRNA synthetases). tRNAs cope with the degeneracy of the genetic code in two manners: having more than one tRNA (with a specific anti-codon) for a particular amino acid; and 'wobble' base-pairing, i.e. permitting non-standard base-pairing at the 3rd anti-codon position. The record is from RNAcentral.